RNAcentral lists this ribosomal RNA (1425 nucleotides) under Mycobacterium tuberculosis complex sp. (ex Procavia capensis) 50. RNAcentral describes it as "bacterial LSU rRNA". It matches the Rfam family "Bacterial large subunit ribosomal RNA", at positions 1 to 1334 of the family's 2925-position model. Lineage: Bacteria; Bacillati; Actinomycetota; Actinomycetes; Mycobacteriales; Mycobacteriaceae. The record is from RNAcentral.
UUGUAAGUGUCUAAGGGCGCAUGGUGGAUGCCUUGGCAUCGAGAGCCGAUGAAGGACGUGGGAGGCUGCGAUAUGCCUCGGGGAGCUGUCAACCGAGCGUGGAUCCGAGGAUUUCCGAAUGGGGAAACCCAGCACGAGUGAUGUCGUGCUACCCGCAUCUGAAUAUAUAGGGUGCGGGAGGGAACGCGGGGAAGUGAAACAUCUCAGUACCCGUAGGAGGAGAAAACAAUUGUGAUUCCGCAAGUAGUGGCGAGCGAACGCGGAACAGGCUAAACCGCACGCAUGGGUAACCGGGUAGGGGUUGUGUGUGCGGGGUUGUGGGAGGAUAUGUCUCAGCGCUACCCGGCUGAGAGGCAGUCAGAAAGUGUCGUGGUUAGCGGAAGUGGCCUGGGAUGGUCUGCCGUAGACGGUGAGAGCCCGGUACGCGAAAACCCGGCACCUGCCUAGUAUCAAUUCCCGAGUAGCAGCGGGCCCGUGGAAUCCGCUGUGAAUCCGCCGGGACCACCCGGUAAGCCUAAAUACUCCUCGAUGACCGAUAGCGGAUUAGUACCGUGAGGGAAUGGUGAAAAGUACCCCGGGAGGGGAGUGAAAGAGUACCUGAAACCGUGUGCCUACAAUCCGUCAGAGCCUCCUUUUCCUCUCCGGAGGAGGGUGGUGAUGGCGUGCCUUUUGAAGAAUGAGCCUGCGAGUCAGGGACAUGUCGCAAGGUUAACCCGUGUGGGGUAGCCGCAGCGAAAGCGAGUCUGAAUAGGGCGACCCACACGCGCAUACGCGCGUGUGAAUAGUGGCGUGUUCUGGACCCGAAGCGGAGUGAUCUACCCAUGGCCAGGGUGAAGCGCGGGUAAGACCGCGUGGAGGCCCGAACCCACUUAGGUUGAAGACUGAGGGGAUGAGCUGUGGGUAGGGGUGAAAGGCCAAUCAAACUCCGUGAUAGCUGGUUCUCCCCGAAAUGCAUUUAGGUGCAGCGUUGCGUGGUUCACCGCGGAGGUAGAGCUACUGGAUGGCCGAUGGGCCCUACUAGGUUACUGACGUCAGCCAAACUCCGAAUGCCGUGGUGUAAAGCGUGGCAGUGAGACGGCGGGGGAUAAGCUCCGUACGUCGAAAGGGAAACAGCCCAGAUCGCCGGCUAAGGCCCCCAAGCGUGUGCUAAGUGGGAAAGGAUGUGCAGUCGCAAAGACAACCAGGAGGUUGGCUUAGAAGCAGCCACCCUUGAAAGAGUGCGUAAUAGCUCACUGGUCAAGUGAUUGUGCGCCGAUAAUGUAGCGGGGCUCAAGCACACCGCCGAAGCCGCGGCACAUCCACCUUGUGGUGGGUGUGGGUAGGGGAGCGUCCCUCAUUCAGCGAAGCCACCGGGUGACCGGUGGUGGAGGGUGGGGGAGUGAGAAUGCAGGCAUGAGUAGCGACAAGGCAAGUGAGAACCUUGCC